RNAcentral lists this ribosomal RNA (561 nucleotides) under uncultured bacterium. RNAcentral's name for it is "partial 16S ribosomal RNA". It matches the Rfam family "Bacterial small subunit ribosomal RNA", at positions 355 to 909 of the family's 1533-position model. The record is from RNAcentral.
UGGGGAAUUUUGGACAAUGGGCGCAAGCCUGAUCCAGCCAUGCCGCGUGCGGGAAGAAGGCCUUCGGGUUGUAAACCGCUUUUGUCAGGGAAGAAAUCUUCUGAGUUAAUACCUCGGGAGGAUGACGGUACCUGAAGAAUAAGCACCGGCUAACUACGUGCCAGCAGCCGCGGUAAUACGUAGGGUGCAAGCGUUAAUCGGAAUUACUGGGCGUAAAGCGUGCGCAGGCGGUUUUGUAAGACAGAGGUGAAAUCCCCGGGCUCAACCUGGGAACUGCCUUUGUGACUGCAAGGCUUGAGUGCGGCAGAGGGGGAUGGAAUUCCGCGUGUAGCAGUGAAAUGCGUAGAUAUGCGGAGGAACACCGAUGGCGAAGGCAAUCCCCUGGGCCUGCACUGACGCUCAUGCACGAAAGCGUGGGGAGCAAACAGGAUUAGAUACCCUGGUAGUCCACGCCCUAAACGAUGUCAACUGGUUGUUGGGAAGGUUCCUUCUCAGUAACGUAGCUAACGCGUGAAGUUGACCGCCUGGGGAGUACGGCCGCAAGGUUGAAACUUAAAUGAA